Molecule: ribosomal RNA, 137 nt
Filed under: uncultured eukaryote
Lineage: Eukaryota
Description: partial 18S ribosomal RNA
Rfam family: Eukaryotic small subunit ribosomal RNA
Source: RNAcentral
UCGUAGGAUGACCCGGCAGCUUGAUUGCGAUAACGAACGAGACCUUAACCUGCUAAAUAGCCCGGCUGGCCUUGGCUGGUCGCCGGCUUCUUAGAGGGACUAUCGGCGCGAGUCGAUGGAAGUUUGAGGCAAUAACA